AUGAGGAUCAUGGCGGCGUCAGCGCUGCUGCUGCUCUUGCUGGUGUCGGCGGCGGCGGCCACCAGCAACACAUCGGACAGCUGGGAGAGGAAGAGGAGCGAGGAGGAGACCCGGCAGAUCUUCACGGAAUGGAAGGCCAAGCACGGCAUGACCAACAGCUCCCUCGCCGAGGAGGAGCAGCGCGCGUACACCAGGUUCAAGCGCAGCCUCGGCCUCAUCGACCGGCGGUGGCAUGACGAAGGCUACUCCAUCUUCUCCUGGGAGAGGGGGAGGAGCGAGGAGGAAACGCGGAAGAUCUUCGCGGAGUGGAAGGUACGAGAAGGCAUUACCUACAGCUCCAUCGCCCGCGAGGAGCACCGCUACACCAUAUUUAAGGAGGCCCUCCGCGACAUCGACUGGCACAACGCUGGCUACGCCAUUCAGGUCUACAAUAACAACCGAUGCAUCGACCAGUUCAGCCAUCUCAUCCAAGAGGAGUACGAAGCCGUUUGCUGUGGGUAUUGGCCAGAGGAGCCGUCGUUGGCCGAAUUACAGAGAAUGGGCGAGAUCCGGGAGCGGUUGUGGCUAGCAUUUACUUAUCGGCUAACUUAA
This 591-nucleotide ribosomal RNA is filed under the name Triticum aestivum (bread wheat). RNAcentral describes it as "partial small subunit ribosomal RNA". Lineage: Eukaryota; Viridiplantae; Streptophyta; Magnoliopsida; Poales; Poaceae. The record is from RNAcentral.